UAUGGACAAAGACACACAAAGAUUUCAGUGAACGCAAAGUUCUCUACUAGGCACUGAACAUAUUACUACUAUGGUGCCAGAUCAAUGGAAACAAGUUGGAAUGGGUUUAUGAAUGUAUACAUUUGAAACUGACUUGAAGUGGAAAUAGAUGAAUCAGCUGA
Molecule: long non-coding RNA, 161 nt
Organism: Podarcis raffonei (Aeolian wall lizard)
Lineage: Eukaryota; Metazoa; Chordata; Lepidosauria; Squamata; Lacertidae
Exons: 2
Source: RefSeq, a predicted model, not a curated record